Molecule: long non-coding RNA, 1033 nt
Organism: Rhincodon typus (whale shark)
Lineage: Eukaryota; Metazoa; Chordata; Chondrichthyes; Orectolobiformes; Rhincodontidae
Exons: 2
Source: RefSeq, a predicted model, not a curated record
GGCUCAGCCUGGUUUUCAGUGGACUUCAGUACUUAGAACAAAACUACCUCCAAUCUGGUCGUGUUCUGAAGCUGAUUCAUUGUAAACUAGAUGAAGAUGUUUUAAAACUGGACAGUGAUGUUUCCUGAUUAUGAAAGACAGUGAAUCCAGCUCACUGCUUACUCGUCCAGCCUUCAUGAAGGUGUAGAGAAAUUACUGAGGAAGCGAUGGGCCAGCAGUGAAGAUGCAGCAGCUGAAGACCCUCUCUGGAAGGGUUGACAUCCUCGAUGCUGUUUCCUCCAGAUGAGCACGAUGUGGUGUUCCCGCAGACUGAGGAUGUCCUGGGACGCUGUGACAGAAUUGUACCAGAUGCUGGAGUGGGACCUGUGAGAUCAAGGUGGCCAUGAAAACGGUUAUGUUAAACUUUUAUGCAACUAGCUCUUUCACUAGCUGUUCUGAGGAUGCUGCCAGACCUGCUGAGCUUUUCCAGCAACUUUGUUUGUUUUUGUUCCUGAUUUACAGCAUCCACAGUUGUUUUGGUUUUUAUUUAACUCUUUCCAAGAAUCAGCUGGGGAACUUGAAUGAUAAAAUUUUGUUGGAAAAUGCGCACGUGGGCGUAUCGUAGUGUAUGAUUUUUGCUUGUUCUUUGAUGAAUGACCUGAGUGUUUAAGGGCUAUCAAUUGUAAUAAUUAUGUGCUAAUCUGUUACUGAAAAGGUGAAAGACUAAUAUUUGUUAAUGUCUAUGUGAAAUCUAAAGAUGAAGCACAUCUCUUCAACAGUAUUUCCAAAUUUUAACAUCUUAUUUGUUAGAAAGAAGUGGAAGUUCCAAAAUGUACCUAUUGCAUCAAGGCAAUAAUAGGCUUCAUGGAGCAUGCAAUCUGCAUCCUGACAUUGCGCAGUUGUACGUGCCCUUCUCUGGAUCUGGCUUUGUUUUUAACCUUUUUUUUGUUCUUUCAGACUUUGAAUAUUUUAAUUUAGCAACAAAAUGCAUUUAUGUUGACCGGUAAAUGUAAAGAAAAGCCAAUUAUUGUGCCAUUAAAAUUGAUUUGAAGUA